RNAcentral lists this ribosomal RNA (253 nucleotides) under uncultured bacterium. RNAcentral describes it as "partial 16S ribosomal RNA". It matches the Rfam family "Bacterial small subunit ribosomal RNA", at positions 524 to 776 of the family's 1533-position model. The record is from RNAcentral.
UACGGGGGGGGCAAGCGUUGUUCGGAAUUACUGGGCGUAAAGGGCUCGUAGGCGGCCAACUAAGUCAUACGUGAAAUCCCUCGGCUUAACCGGGGAACUGCGUCUGAUACUGGAUGGCUUGAGUUCGGGAGAGGGAUGCGGAAUUCCAGGUGUAGCGGUGAAAUGCGUAGAUAUCUGGAGGAACACCGGUGGCGAAGGCGGCAGCCUGGACCGAUACUGACGCUGAGGAGCGAAAGCCAGGGGAGCAAACGGG